GAUGAACGCUGGCGGCGUGCCUAAUACAUGCAAGUCGAGCGAACAGACGAGGAGCUUGCUCCUCUGACGUUAGCGGCGGACGGGUGAGUAACACGUGGAUAACCUACCUAUAAGUCUGGGAUAACUUCGGGAAACCGGAGCUAAUACCGGAUAAUAUAUUGAACCGCAUGGUUCAAUAUUAAAAGCCGGUUUUGCUGUCACUAAUAGAUGGAUCCGCGCCGCAUUAGCUAGUUGGUAAGGUAACGGCUUACCAAGGCAACGAUGCGUAGCCGACCUGAGAGGGUGAUCGGCCACACUGGAACUGAGACACGGUCCAGACUCCUACGGGAGGCAGCAGUAGGGAAUCUUCCGCAAUGGGCGAAAGCCUGACGGAGCAACGCCGCGUGAGUGAUGAAGGUCUUCGGAUCGUAAAACUCUGUUAUUAGGGAAGAACAAAUGUGUAAGUAACUAUGCACGUCUUGACGGUACCUAAUCAGAAAGCCACGGCUAACUACGUG
This 497-nucleotide ribosomal RNA is filed under the name uncultured bacterium. RNAcentral describes it as "partial 16S ribosomal RNA". It matches the Rfam family "Bacterial small subunit ribosomal RNA", at positions 28 to 507 of the family's 1533-position model. The record is from RNAcentral.